Molecule: non-coding RNA, 148 nt
Organism: Homo sapiens (human)
Lineage: Eukaryota; Metazoa; Chordata; Mammalia; Primates; Hominidae
Rfam family: Metazoan signal recognition particle RNA
About the family: The signal recognition particle (SRP) is a universally conserved ribonucleoprotein.
Source: Rfam
GCUGGGCGUGGUGGCGUGCGCCUGUAGUCCCAGCUACUCGGGAGGCUGAGGCAGGAGAAUCACUUGAACUCAGGAGGCGGAGGUUGCAGUGAACCGAGAUCACGCCACUGCACUCCAGCCUGGGUAACAGAGUGAGACUUUGUCUCAA